This is a non-coding RNA of Myxocyprinus asiaticus (Chinese sucker), 168 nucleotides long. RefSeq annotates it as small Cajal body-specific RNA 1. The transcript has a single exon. The record is from RefSeq and is a predicted model, not a curated record. Lineage: Eukaryota; Metazoa; Chordata; Actinopteri; Cypriniformes; Catostomidae.
AUGCACCAGAUACUGACCUGACUGCCUGCGGCUCAGUUGAGUUCAUACUGAUGCGUGCAUGACUGUGGCCGUCAGGUCCAGAAUGGUGCUACAGAAAUGCAAGACCCUGAGAUUUAAGCUCUGAGCGGGGAGUCACUCUCUCAGGUGUUAUAACUCUAGGGCACAUUA